GCUUGCUCCAGGGGAUCAGUGGCGAACGGGUGAGUAACACGUGAGUAACCUGCCCCAGACUCUGGAAUAAGCGCUGGAAACGGCGUCUAAUACCGGAUACGAGACAGAGAGGCAUCUCUACUGUCUGGAAAGUUUUUCGGUCUGGGAUGGACUCGCGGCCUAUCAGCUUGUUGGUGAGGUAACGGCUCACCAAGGCGACGACGGGUAGCCGGCCUGAGAGGGCGACCGGCCACACUGGGACUGAGACACGGCCCAGACUCCUACGGGAGGCAGCAGUGGGGAAUAUUGCACAAUGGGCGAAAGCCUGAUGCAGCGACGCCGCGUGAGGGAUGACGGCCUUCGGGUUGUAAACCUCUUUCAGCAGGGAAGAAGCGAAAGUGACGGUACCUGCAGAAGAAGCACCGGCUAACUACGUGCCAGCAGCCGCGGUAAUACGUAGGGUGCGAGCGUUGUCCGGAAUUAUUGGGCGUAAAGAGCUUGUAGGCGGUUUGUCGCGUCUGCUGUGAAAAUCCGGGGCUCAACCCCGGACUUGCAGUGGGUACGGGCAGACUAGAGUAUGGUAGGGGAGACUGGAAUUCCUGGUGUAGCGGUGAAAUGCGCAGAUAUCAGGAGGAACACCGAUGGCGAAGGCAGGUCUCUGGGCCAUUACUGACGCUGAGAAGCGAAAGCAUGGGGAGCGAACAGGAUUAGAUACCCUGGUAGUCCAUGCCGUAAACGUUGGGCGCUAGGUGUGGGACUCAUUCCACGAGUUCCGUGCCGCAGCUAACGCAUUAAGCGCCCCGCCUGGGGAGUACGGCCGCAAGGCUAAAACUCAAAGGAAUUGACGGGGGCCCGCACAAGCGGCGGAGCAUGCGGAUUAAUUCGAUGCAACGCGAAGAACCUUACCAAGGCUUGACAUAUACCGGAAACACCUAGAGAUAGGUGCCCCUUUUGGUCGGUAUACAGGUGGUGCAUGGUUGUCGUCAGCUCGUGUCCUGAGAUGUUGGGUUAAGUCCCGCAACGAGCGCAACCCUCGUUCUAUGUUGCCAGCACGUAAUGGUGGGGA
Molecule: ribosomal RNA, 1045 nt
Filed under: Janibacter sp.
Lineage: Bacteria; Bacillati; Actinomycetota; Actinomycetes; Micrococcales; Intrasporangiaceae
Description: bacterial SSU rRNA
Rfam family: Bacterial small subunit ribosomal RNA
Source: RNAcentral